AUUUCCUGAUCGAACAGCCUCACUUGUGUUGCUGUCAGUGCCAGUAGGGCAGGCAGGAAUGCAGCAGAGAGGACUCGCCAUCGUGGCCUUGGCUGUCUGUGCGGCCCUACAUGCCUCAGAAGCCAUACUUCCCAUUGCCUCCAGCUGUUGCACGGAGGUUUCACAUCAUAUUUCCAGAAGGCUCCUGGAAAGAGUGAAUAUGUGUCGCAUCCAGAGAGCUGAUGGGGAUUGUGACUUGGCUGCUGUCAUGUGAGUGCUCUUCAGCCGGGAGGUCUAAACCUGCACAGUGAUUAUUUCCCUGACCAACGAAUAAUAGGUUGGAAAGGCUUUGCUUGAUUACAACAUACAAACAAUCAUCCAAACAAGGGAGGGAAGAGUAAAUAUUCUGUCCAUUAGGCCCCAGGCUCCCUGGAGUAAAUUCAUAGUCUCUCUGUCCAAAGAUGUCCUGAGCCCCAUACCAGCACACCAUCUACUUCCACCCUGUAGUGCUGUGGUUAGGACUAAAUUCCCCCAGUCACCAAAAAGUGUUCAUGACUUUCCCAAGCAAAACAAAACCCCAAACAAAAGAUAACUCUGU
This 577-nucleotide small RNA is filed under the name Pan troglodytes (chimpanzee). RNAcentral describes it as "retained intron". The record is from RNAcentral. Lineage: Eukaryota; Metazoa; Chordata; Mammalia; Primates; Hominidae.